Long non-coding RNA from Maniola jurtina (meadow brown), 129 nucleotides. RefSeq lists it as uncharacterized. Lineage: Eukaryota; Metazoa; Arthropoda; Insecta; Lepidoptera; Nymphalidae. The record is from RefSeq and is a predicted model, not a curated record. The transcript is spliced from 3 exons.
GUAGUUUUUGCUGCCUCGUCCGUUUCUUAUGGACUAAGAGCCAGCGCGUGCCAGACCUUCAUCAAUUUAUAAAAGCUGAAAGUUUAUCCGCGUAUUGUCCACAACACAGGGAUGAACGAUCAGCGACGU